RNAcentral lists this transfer RNA (78 nucleotides) under Kitasatospora herbaricolor. Its description in RNAcentral is "tRNA-Pro". The record is from RNAcentral. Lineage: Bacteria; Bacillati; Actinomycetota; Actinomycetes; Kitasatosporales; Streptomycetaceae.
CGCCGGAGCGGGUGGGGGCACCGGGCGGUAGGGCCGCUCCUAGACGGCGGCCUUCAGGUUCCACUUCUGGUUGGCGCC